RNAcentral lists this long non-coding RNA (1492 nucleotides) under Oryza sativa Indica Group (long-grained rice). RNAcentral describes it as "lncRNA OsMH63_12G021240". The record is from RNAcentral. Lineage: Eukaryota; Viridiplantae; Streptophyta; Magnoliopsida; Poales; Poaceae.
UCCCCUUGGGUCUAGGUCACGCGAUUCCUCUUCUCCUCUCUCCCCCAUCCGCUCCGCCGCCAUUUUAGGGAUCCCUCGAUGCGUGGCCUACGGUGCGGUGAUGCCGCCGCAUGAGGACGCCCUCGAUGCCGGCGCCGUUGACGUGCUCACCUUUAGGCUCCACCCCCUCGCUGUCUUGAAAUUAUCCCACCGCAUCCGCAAGUUCGUCCAUCUCCACGAUGACCAAUACCAGCAAGCGAGGAUGUCUGGGUGCGUUAUCGGGGUUCGGCGUGGUGGGACGGUGGAUAUCUCCGAUACCUUCGACAUCUUGCACGACCCCGACCCCGGAACCUUCGACCGCGCCUUACUGGAGAAGGAUCAGGAGAUCUACAAGAAGGCCUUCCCUGACUUGUCCGUUCUCGGGUGGUACUCCAUUGGGACCAAUGUGCACACCACCGACACGGGAAUCCACCAUGGGGACUACACCGACAUGCAAAUCCACCAGACCUUGAUGGAUGCUAAUGGAACAGCCUUUUAUCUUCUAUUAAAUCCUGCAAUCAACUUUUCCCAUAAGGAUAUUCCUUUGACUAUUUAUGAAAGAGUGUUGUGCAAUUCCGAUGGGAGUCCCCCGGUCAGCUUUGUCCAAGGAAACUAUACAGUUGAGAUUGUAGGAGCAGAGAGGAUAUCUUUAGACCAUGCUGAUUUUCUCUAUCCAAGUCCAUGCGUAGUCUUCGAUGUUCUUGCACCACCUCUUGGAGAAAAAAAAAAUGCAUUUAGGACGAUGCUAUUUGAAACCCCUUCGGGAUUUGCAAUGUUCCGUGUUUCGGAUGUUUUAUUUAGAUAUCCGGAGGACAUAUGGUCGAGUUUUACUGAUCCACAUACUGUACACCAGGUCGUUCGUACCAUUGGUUUUAUUGAGGUUGGUGACAAAUCUGUUGUAUGGGAUAAUGAUAUUGGUCCUGGCGAGGAUAUAGAGCACUUUAUCCUAAAAUUUCCAAUUAAAUCAUUGGUUGUUCCAGAUGCACAGCUUAAAUUUAUUAUUGAGAAAAACCUUAACAUUAGCUGUUGGUUUAAUGGGCGUAUUGUUCCUGAGUUGAUUUGGGGACUAAAUUAUGCCCUGGACGAAUUUGUGCCUCGAGAGAAGGGCAACCUAUCAGAUGAACGCCAUUUUCCACUGAGCAAGCAACUGCAUGAGCAGUUAAAAGCAUAUGGAUUUAGUAUCUCACCACAAUUGAUUAACAGAGAGUUUAUAACCAGUUUUGGUUACUUAAAUUAUCUGGAACGUACUUCAAAUUGCAUUUCCGGAGAUUUACACCAGAAAUUUGAUCGUUUCUUUUGUGGACUUGAGAUGUCUGAGGGAGAGUUUGUAAGAGGAGUUGCACACCGUCUCCAUUCCAUGGAGGUCAAGGAUAGGGGUACAGGGCUUGGGCAUCCUUGGGUUUGCGCUGCUGCUGUUGCGGUGGGCUUCGGGGUUAUGGCAGGAUUGUGCAUUGCGAUGAAGCGAGCAAAUUAG